Molecule: long non-coding RNA, 468 nt
Filed under: Nicotiana benthamiana
Lineage: Eukaryota; Viridiplantae; Streptophyta; Magnoliopsida; Solanales; Solanaceae
Description: long non-coding RNA (NBEN_LNC013266)
Source: RNAcentral
UCUAGCAGGUAAUAUGGGCCGCGUCAUGGUGGUGACCAGUUUCUGAAUUCAUUCCAAGUGUACUCGUACCCUAGUCUAAAGGUAGUAACAUGUUUAUUCAACUGGAUAUGUUUGGUGAUUCCUUGAAGAUUCUUACCAAGUCCUUUCCCUGGUUUAUACCCACUCCAAUUUAGAAUGGUUUUGACCUUGUUGCUCCACCAUUUGUCCUUGUCCACUGCGUUGACCCGCUCAAUAUGAUGAUAUGUUUCUCCGCCUAUCCUCCUACUGCCUCCGAUCAUUAGAAUGAUCUGGCGACUAUAAAUGGGGUUGCUACCGUCUCAAUGGAUGAUUACCUCUUGAUGGUUCCAUUCGAACUUCACGGCCUGAUGUAAGGUUAAUGCCACACCCCAAGCAGCGUGGAUCCAGGGUCGUCCCAGCAGUAAGUUUUAAGAUGCUGGUACGUCGUUGACUUGGAAGUCAACAUCAAAC